This 506-nucleotide ribosomal RNA is filed under the name uncultured bacterium. Its description in RNAcentral is "partial 16S ribosomal RNA". It matches the Rfam family "Bacterial small subunit ribosomal RNA", at positions 29 to 523 of the family's 1533-position model. The record is from RNAcentral.
AGUGAACGCUGGCGGUAGGCCUAACACAUGCAAGUCGAACGGCAGCACAGAGGAGCUUGCUCCUUGGGUGGCGAGUGGCGGACGGGUGAGGAAUACAUCGGAAUCUACUCUGUCGUGGGGGAUAACGUAGGGAAACUUACGCUAAUACCGCAUACGACCUACGGGUGAAAGCAGGGGACCUUCGGGCCUUGCGCGAUUGAAUGAGCCGAUGUCGGAUUAGCUAGUUGGCGGGGUAAAGGCCCACCAAGGCGACGAUCCGUAGCUGGUCUGAGGGGAUGAUCAGCCACACUGGAACUGGGACACGGUCCAGAGUCCUACGGGAGGCAGCAGUGGGGAAUAUUGGAAAAUGGGCGCAAGCCUGAUCCAGCCAUACCGCGUGGGUGAAGAAGGCCUUCGGGUUGUAAAGCCCUUUUGUUGGGAAAGAAAUCCAGCUGGCUAAUACCCGGUUGGGAUGACGGUACCCAAAGAAUAAGCACCGGCUAACUUCGUGCCAGCAGCCGCCGUAA